CACAACUUGAGGUCAUGGUCGGGGCUGGUUGUUGGCUGCCCUUUUAAUCACAUACACUGGUCCAGCAGGGAAAUCCUCUUAACAAAAUGUUGCUCAACUGUUUGAUAUUUGUAUUAAGAUAUUUUUAACGAAAUUUAAAAAUCUGAAGAAUGUUAAGAGCACGUCAGGAUAUGUGACUCCUGCAUUAAUAUGAUGCUGUUUAAAUAUCAACGGCAAACAAAAUCUGAGCCAAAAGGGAUGUCCAAUCGAUGGCGUUGGCAGUGGAUGUGUAAGACGAAAAGAGAUUGGCGUGAAGAGAGCAGCAAAGCAAUUUAAUGUGCCGAUAACAACGUGUUCGCAUAGACUUUAUACUACAGUCCUGUAUAUGUGCUAAAGUACUAAACGGAACAACGACCAUUAAUUAAUUAAACAAUUAUGCAUUAUCGAUGAUGAUGAUUUUCUUUUAUUUAUUUUACUUUUAAUAUCACUUAAUUAUACUUCUUUUGUGCUAAACUUCAUUUAAAUUACAUAAAAAAUAAAUUUUAAGCAAGAAAUUGGCUAUAAUAUGUAUUAUGUUUUACAGGGGGCCAUUUCACCUGAACCGGUGAGGUGAAAUGGACCCAUAGCUUGUUUACACAAUGACGUCAUUUAAUUGUAGAUUGCAAAAUAAUUAUCACCAAUUUUUAUAUUCAUUGUGAAGGGUAUAUAUGCCUCUUCAAUUGACAUAAUUAGGUACAUUACCGUAUACGUUAUGGCAUUAUGUGUGUAUGAAGCAAUUUUAUGCUCAGGGGUCCAUUUCCCCUUACUUUACCCUAAAGCAAAUUCUGUUAUUGCCGAUGUAUCUUCAUAAAAACUGAUUUAAGCCAACAUCUGUGCUAAGUUUUCAAUACAGGACUUUCUGAGCUCGAUAGAGCAUGAUAUUCAUUCUUUGAAUAAAACAUUUCAAAAUAAAUAAAUAAAAACUGAAACUGAUUGUAGAGAUCCUUUCUUCAAUAAACUUAACUCCACCGCAUA
This is a long non-coding RNA of Anneissia japonica, 993 nucleotides long. RefSeq lists it as uncharacterized. The transcript has 2 exons. The record is from RefSeq and is a predicted model, not a curated record. Lineage: Eukaryota; Metazoa; Echinodermata; Crinoidea; Comatulida; Comatulidae.